RNAcentral lists this unclassified non-coding RNA (182 nucleotides) under fungal sp. RNAcentral describes it as "partial internal transcribed spacer region". The stretch from base 1 to 46 matches the Rfam family "Eukaryotic small subunit ribosomal RNA", at positions 1786 to 1831 of the family's 1831-position model. Lineage: Eukaryota; Fungi. The record is from RNAcentral.
AAGUCGUAACAAGGUAACCGUAGGUGAACCUGCGGUUGGAUCAUUAUCUAAACCAAGGGACUAGGCGAAAGUCUAGUCCCAACCUUAACACUGAACCAGGAUUCGUCCUACUCUAGUCUAAUACAUUAUCGUAAAAAUACUAAAAGAAAAACAACUUUUAACAACGGAUCUCUUGGCUCUCA